GAAAUGCGAUAAGUAAUGUGAAUUGCAGAAUUCAGUGAAUCAUCGAAUCUUUGAACGCACCUUGCGCUCCUUGGUAUUCCGAGGAGCAUGCCUGUUUGAGUGUCAUGGAAUUCUCAACCCAUACAUCCUUGUGAUAUGUGGGCUUGGACUUGGAGGCUUGCUGGCUCUAGUUAGUCGGCUCCUCUUGAAUGCAUUAGCUUGAUUCCGUGCGGAUCGGCUCUCAGUGUGAUAAUUGUCUACGCUGUGACCGUGAAGCGUUUGGCAAGCUUCUAAUCGUCCCGUAUGGGACAAUUACUUGACAUCUGACCUCAAAUCAGGUAGGACUACCCGCUGAACUUAA
Molecule: unclassified non-coding RNA, 340 nt
Filed under: uncultured Polyporales
Lineage: Eukaryota; Fungi; Basidiomycota; Agaricomycetes; Polyporales
Description: sequence contains ITS1
Rfam family: 5.8S ribosomal RNA (bases 1-105)
Source: RNAcentral